This 74-nucleotide transfer RNA is filed under the name Golenkinia longispicula. Its description in RNAcentral is "tRNA-Ile". It matches the Rfam family "tRNA". Rfam says of the family: Transfer RNA (tRNA) molecules are approximately 80 nucleotides in length. Lineage: Eukaryota; Viridiplantae; Chlorophyta; Chlorophyceae; Chlamydomonadales; Golenkiniaceae. The record is from RNAcentral.
GGGCUAUUAGCUCAGUUGGUACGAGCGCACCCCUGAUAAGGGUGAGGUCGCUGGUUCAAGUCCAGCAUAGCCCA